Triplophysa dalaica is the source of this 505-nucleotide long non-coding RNA. RefSeq lists it as uncharacterized. NCBI's taxonomy places the organism in Eukaryota, Metazoa, Chordata, Actinopteri, Cypriniformes, Nemacheilidae. The record is from RefSeq and is a predicted model, not a curated record. The transcript is spliced from 4 exons.
GUCAAAUGUUAAUAGAAGAACACCAAGAUCCUGGAAGUCAUGAUAUAUAAGGGUCAGACACAACUGUGAGUAAACGCUCAUCUCAGCUUUGCAUCACUGUAAAGGUUUCAGCUCAAUUCAACAGAAUGAUGAAGGUUUUUCUACUGGCACUGGUUCUUGCACUGGUGUUGACUGAUGGAUCUGCUUUGAAAUGUUACAAGUGUUUGGGUUGGAAAUGUGAAGUGACCGAAGAGACGUGUGCUCCUGAAAAAGAUGCCUGUGUCUCCUAUAGAUCCGACAACACUCCUUAUCCUCCCAUGUUGGGGUGCAUCACCAUGUCACGGUGUGAGAAAAUGCCUUGGUCCAGCCCUGAUGUUAUGGGAUGCUGUACAACAGACCUGUGCAAUGCACCUGUCAAACCAGAUAACAAGUAGUGGGAGAGGCAGCAACGACAAUAAAGCACUUUGGGUGUAAAGUGGAAAAGUGCUAUAUUAAUACUACAUUCAUUUAUCUAUGGGCUCUUUUA